Non-coding RNA from Schizosaccharomyces pombe (fission yeast), 821 nucleotides. Lineage: Eukaryota; Fungi; Ascomycota; Schizosaccharomycetes; Schizosaccharomycetales; Schizosaccharomycetaceae. The record is from the annotation of a GenBank genome assembly.
CAGCACCAACACGAGUAGUGUCGCGGAACUCUUUGUACAUGUUGUGAGUACCGGAACGAGAGUCAUAACGAAUCCAGAUACCAAAGACCUUGGCCUUAAGAGGCUUGGGCUCAGAAAUCUCAUUGAUAGCAACGAUCUCACCAGUGGCCUUCUUGACUUUGUUGAUCAUCUUCAAGAAAUACCAGUAACGAGACUUGGCAACUGAUUCAUUAGGUGCGAAUAAACGCAUACGGAACAACUUAGGCACAGGUUCAUGCUCAGUUGGGACCUUACGGCCAACGACUUGAUACUCCUUCAGUGCCAUUUUGAUGUCUCUGGCUCUGGACAGGUUGACUUGUUGAUAACCGGGAAUUUCUUACACCAAACUUUUGUGACUGCUUUUGAAUAUAAUUAACAAAAUCGUCUUUAAGCGUUAUAGGUUCUUAAUGUAAAGCAGAUCGAUAUCUCAAAUAGCGUGAUAUCGUACAUUUCAGUAUAUCUCUAACCAAAGCGCCUUUAAAGCCUCUAUGAAUUUCCAGAAGUCACUUGAAAGUGAUUUUUAAUGGAGCGGUAGUUGCUUUCAUAAAUUGAUUUUUAGUCUUGAAUAUUUGUUUGAAAAAAUGUGCCGUCUUUCAUGUGUUGAAUUUUGACGCGUCGCACUUGCUCGACAGGCUGCAUUCUGUGAGGUUGUAGCAAUAUAAAUAAUAAACAGAGGUGAAUUUACACUUCCAGUCUUCUAUGUGCAUUACAAAAUUCAGAGUAGUACAUUGAUAGAUUUAAAAAACUGUCAUUAAAUUCAGUUGUUUUGUGUUGAAUCGUGCAAUGAAACUAUCCAAAGCAUA